UCUCCGUUGGUGAACCAGCGGAGGGAUCAUUACAGGACUCGCAAGACUCCUACAAUCCUGUGAAUUUAACUAUAAGCACGUUGCUUCGGCGGGUGUCUCGGAGGGGGUUCUCCCUCCCCGAGACGCUAAACCCGCCGGCAGCCUACUAUACUCUGUCUCUUUGCGUUGGCAUCUCGAGUACAAUCAAACAAGUUAAAACUUUCAACAACGGAUCUCUUGGUUCUG
Molecule: unclassified non-coding RNA, 225 nt
Filed under: plant metagenome
Description: partial contains small subunit ribosomal RNA, internal transcribed spacer 1, and 5.8S ribosomal RNA
Source: RNAcentral